This is a long non-coding RNA of Odocoileus virginianus texanus, 765 nucleotides long. RefSeq lists it as uncharacterized. The record is from RefSeq and is a predicted model, not a curated record. NCBI's taxonomy places the organism in Eukaryota, Metazoa, Chordata, Mammalia, Artiodactyla, Cervidae.
GAAACCGGAGGCGCUCGACGGUUACCAAGGGCUGGGCGCCUUUAGCCGGGGAGUCUGAGACGCUCAUGCUCAUUUGGAAAGAGCGAAGAGGGAAGGACGGCCCUUUGAAGAGGCAGUUGUCCUGCCAGGUUAUCUAGUCGUGCCGGCAGGCUGAGAGCCUGCUCUGGGAAUCUGGGUCACGCCCGCUUGUUCUUUGAGCCUUUCAGCCAAAUGAAGUGGCCCUGCGGCUCUUUGACUAAAAUUUCUUUACUUUUCUGCCCCUUCUUAGAAAAUUGAGUUGAAACAGAUGAAGUGGACAUAGCAUGUGAAAACAAUUCUUCGAAGAAGUUUGGCUGUAAGGUAAAGGAGAAAGUUUGCUUCAAAUGCCAAAUGACCAUAAAAUGGUCAACAAUGAGUUCUUCAGCAACUUCUCAUGUAAUUAUAAGAGGAUCAGCUCCGAUGAUUGUUCUCAAUUGGUCUUUGUCAACUUCUGAUGACCGGCCACUGAACUCAUCUUCAAGGCUCUUGUCUCCUUUGCCAAACUUCUUGAACUACCCCUGCAUUGUGCUGAAGCCCAUAUAAGCCUGGAAGAGACAAACCACCUUUGUUACCACUUGGAGGCUUGCCUAAAACUGAAACUAAAAAAGCCAACCAACCCGGGAGACAGAAAACAAAUCCUGGUGAAGUUAUUUGAGCCCAGGGAUCCAGACAUGCCUAAAGACUAGCUUUACCACUGAACUCACUAGUUAAAUGAGCCAAUAAAUGCUCUUUUAUGCUUAAACUUGA